Molecule: non-coding RNA, 166 nt
Filed under: pig gut metagenome
Description: malK-I RNA
Rfam family: malK-I RNA
Source: RNAcentral
GUACAGCUCUCCAUAUUCUUAGCUGUGCACAGCUUUAACAAGGAGGAGUAUGAACAUCCCCUGACUCGGGGUGCGGCAGUGUGGAGACCUGUCGUAAAGCGGGCGGCAUUGCCCCUGCGAGGUCAUUCAGGCGGAGGCCGUUUGACCGGAGUCGGAAAGCAUGGCA